Molecule: ribosomal RNA, 497 nt
Filed under: uncultured bacterium
Lineage: Bacteria
Description: partial 16S ribosomal RNA
Rfam family: Bacterial small subunit ribosomal RNA
Source: RNAcentral
GAUGAACGCUGGCGGCGUGCCUAAUACAUGCAAGUCGAGCGAACAGACGAGGGGCUUGCUCCUCUGACGUUAGCGGCGGACGGGUGAGUAACACGUGGAUAACCUACCUAUAAGACUGGGAUAACUUCGGGAAACCGGAGCUAAUACCGGAUAAUAUAUUGAACCGCAUUGUUCAAUAGUGAAAGACGGUUUUGCUGUCUCUUAUAGAUGGAUCCGCGCGGCAUUAGCUAGUUGGUAAGGUAACGGCUUACCAAGGCAACGAUGCGUAGCCGACCUGAGAGAGUGAUCGGCGACACGGGAACGGGGACACGGUCCAGACUCCUACGGGAGGCAGCAGUAGGGAAUCUUCCGCAAUGGGCGAAAGCAUGACGGAGCAACGCCGCGUGAGUGAUGAAGGUCUUCGGAUCGUAAAACUCUGUUAUUAGGGAAGAACAAAUGUGUAAGUAAAUAUGCCCGUCUUGACGGUACCUAAUCAGAAAGCCACGGCUAACUACGUG